RNAcentral lists this long non-coding RNA (891 nucleotides) under Sarcophilus harrisii (Tasmanian devil). Its description in RNAcentral is "lncRNA (ENSSHAG00000026800.1)". The record is from RNAcentral. Lineage: Eukaryota; Metazoa; Chordata; Mammalia; Dasyuromorphia; Dasyuridae.
AACCCCCAGGGAGAUACACUAAUCCCUUCUAAAAUAUCGCUAGUAAAUGAUUGUCUAGCCUCUGAACGCCUCCAGAGACUGGGAACUCACUCCAUACUGAGCCAGCCUUAGCCACACUGAGGUCUCAGACCUCACCUCCCGCUGCUGUUGACACCAAGAAGGAUUUGACUCUGCCCAGCUUGUUUAAAAUACCAGAAGUUUCCCAACAGGCAGCACAAUCAUAUCCAAAUGAAAACAUGUCUGAUCUUGACCUUCCUGUCAUUGAUCAAUAUGUCCUCUGUCCAGACUGCUUGAGAAUGAAGGCAGAGAGAUGGGGACUUAAUGGGAAGCAGGACACAAGAUAUCAAGGCCUUCCCCAUUUCAUACAGCCAACCAAAAAAAUGAUAAUUCUGGAUGCCCCAAAGCAUCUACGAUUUCCCAUCAUGGAUUUUAUGAGUGACAGGAUGAUAAGAUCAAAAUACAAGCCUACAGAAACCAGUGUCAAUCAGGACAUCGAAGCAGAAAAUGUUCAAUACAGACUGCCAAUGCGGGCCAUUUGGGGUGCCAAGAAGCCUUUACAGACACUAUAUACUGAUCUUUUAACAUCCUGCCAGAGUUCACGGCCUUCUAAAAAAGAAUGUUCUCCAGAGGAAAAGAAUAUAUGGGCAGAAUUCAAUAUCAGCAAGAGCCCCAAGCAUAGUAAAUUCCACUGAUUUUCUAUCAACUGCUGCCCUCUUCUCAUGUCUUCCUGCCCUCCUCCCAUGCCCAGUCUUGGCUAAGAAAGGAGGCUCUUUUGCAUUCCUUCCUGAUGAAGAUCUUUUACUCCUACUAUUAUGUCCACCACUUAUAUCCUAAUAAUAUAGUAGCUUAAUUUAUAGGAUUAUAAAUACAAUUGGUUAACAUAGAACAUUG